This is a long non-coding RNA of Leptidea sinapis, 237 nucleotides long. RefSeq lists it as uncharacterized. The record is from RefSeq and is a predicted model, not a curated record. The transcript has 2 exons. NCBI's taxonomy places the organism in Eukaryota, Metazoa, Arthropoda, Insecta, Lepidoptera, Pieridae.
AUAGCCGAAUGGUUAGUGACCCUGACUACUAAGCUAUAGGUCCCGGGUUCGAAUCCCGGUAGGUGCAAUCAUUUAUAUGAUGAAUAUGAAUGUUUGUUUCCGAGUCAUGGAUGUUUAUAUGUAUUUAUGUAUGUUUAAGUAAGUAUAUUGUAUUAAAUAUAUCGUUGUCUUGUACCCAUAGUACAGGCUAUGCCUAGUUUGGGGCAAGAUAAUUUGUGUGAAAGUGUGUCAAUAUUA